CCUACGGGUGGCAGCAGUGGGGAAUAUUGGGCAAUGGGCGCAAGCCUGACCCAGCAACGCCGCGUGAAGGAAGAAGGCUUUCGGGUUGUAAACUUCUUUUCUCAGGGACGAAGCAAGUGACGGUACCUCAGGAAUAAGCCACGGCUAACUACGUGCCAGCAGCCGCGGUAAUACGUAGGUGGCAAGCGUUAUCCGGAUUUACUGGGUGUAAAGGGCGUGUAGGCGGGAAAGCAAGUCAGAUGUGAAAACCAUGGGCUCAACCUGGGGCCUGCAUUUGAAACUGUUUUUCUUGAGUACUGGAGAGGCAGACGGAAUUCCGAGUGUAGCGGUGAAAUGCGUAGAUAUCAGGAGGAACACCAGUGGCGAAGGCGGUCUGCUGGACAGUAACUGACGCUGAGGCGCGAAAGCGUGGGGAGCAAACAGGAUUAGAUACCCCUGUAGUC
Molecule: ribosomal RNA, 443 nt
Filed under: uncultured bacterium
Lineage: Bacteria
Description: partial 16S ribosomal RNA
Rfam family: Bacterial small subunit ribosomal RNA
Source: RNAcentral